CCUCCCCAAACCACCAAACCGCGCCACUGCUCCUAGCCGUAGCCGCCAUCUCCAUUCCUCCUCCCGCCGUCGCCAUCCCCUCACCCUCCUACCGCCGCCUGUGCCUCGUCGUCGAGAUCCUCCAGAUCUCGCACCCCUCCCAUGCCCACUGCCCUCUCCUCCACAUCCUCCUCUCGAUCCCAGCCGCCACGCGUGGAUUCGGACGCACGCGAAGGCACGCCGCUCUCCUCCUCCACAUCCUCCUCUCGAUCACCGCCACUGUCGUCGUGCCUCCGGUACACAUGACUCCGCCGCGGCGUCUCCCUACUAUGCCGAUGUCGCUUCCUCUCCCUAUGCUGACCCGCUACACCACCCCGACCUGACGCGCCCGCCUCCAUGGAAGGCCCCUCGCGGCCAGCGUUGCCUUCACUGGCCCCGGUGCCCGCACGCGACACUUAAGCCUCCAUGUGCUCACCGCGGCUCUACCCUUGGGCGUUGGUAAGGAGCAUCAGUCGGCUCUGCCCCAGCGCCCAGCCCCGCCCGCAUCCUCCCGCCCGCCACAGCCACCUCCCCGUCGCCUACCCACCCGCUGCGCCUCCCCCUCCGCCACCGCGCCUUUGCCAUGUCCAUCAGUCGGCUCUGCCCCACCCGCUGCGCCUUCCCCUCUGCCACCACGCCGCUGCCAUAGUGCCAUGUCCGCUAAGGCGCGGACGCCUGAGUCACCGAUGGUGCCGCCGGCGCACCCCCCCUAUGACCUCAAGGCCAUCAUCGCGCUCGCUCUCUCCGAGGAUGCCGGAGAUCGAGGGGAUGUGUCUUGUUUGGCCACCAUACUGUCUGACGUGGAAGCUGAAGCCACAUUUAUUGCUAAAGAAUAUGGUGUCAUUGCUGGAAUAAGCCUAGCAGAUAUGAUAUUUAACCAGGUCGAUCCAUUGUUUAAGGUGGUGUUAAGGUCGAAUGGUUUGAAAGUGAUAGAAAUUUUGUCCACAAAGGAUUGCAGUUUGGCAAAUUACAUGGGUGAGCUCGGAGCAUCAUUGUUCCUGAAAGAGUUGUGCUCAAUUUCAUGCAGAGGAUGAGUUGCAUUGCGACCCUAACAAAGGUCGAAGUCGAACCAGUACGAGACCACGCUGCCAUAGAGAUUUGGUACAAAUUUGUGUGGCUAUUUUUUUUAGCUCAGGACCAUAGAGUGAGGCUGGUGCGAAAGGUAGGGGUACAAUGACUGCUGAUGAACUGGCCGGAGCAGCAAUCUAUUGAGCGGUCAGGCUCUAACAGAGCUAGCGACACAGCUGCAGACUGGCUCACAGGUUAGCCUCCCAAACAUAUAAAUAUUUUUUGUGGGGCAAUCAUACCAAUAUCAAUAUACCUUAGAGGCAAAGCUGAGAGUGUUGGAGCUUGACUAUUUUUGCGAGUGGGGCAAACAUGUUCCGUUGUAAAUAAACAACUUGUUAGAGAAAAAUACUGCAUUGGAGUUUCAAUUUGAGAACCGUUGACAAUUAGUAUUGCAUUUCUUAUGAUUUUCUCCCUUGUACUAUUGUAUUUUGUCGCAAUCAAUUAUUUUUACUAAACUUGUGUUGCAUCAAUAUUUUUACUAAGCAAUAUCUAUGCAUAUGCUUGAUGUCAUCUUGUACAAAUUUUGUUUUCGUUGCAACGCACGGGCACUGAACUAUAAAUUACUCAAGUGUGUUGGUGAUUUGCUUUUUUGGGUUUAAUUUUUUUUGCCUAUCAAGUGUCCUGUUAUUUUUGGCGCAAAGAAGAGCUGCAGGUCAGCAUUCAAGCAUGACAAGGUUUCGAUUCCUGAAGCCGGAACUGCUUCAUUUGGCCAUCUAAGACCGAACUCUCACUUGCGCGGUCUCGCAUGGUUAUCGUGGAGAAUUUGCCAGAUGAUUUUACAAGAAAUAGCCUCAAGAAGAUCUUUGACGUCAUUGGAAGCAGUAGAAUUUUAUUCUGGCUACAAGAUGAACGUGUGCGUACAUGCAUCUUCCAAACUAAUUACAUUAACUCACCACUCCAAAUGUCAGGAUGAAACUUCAGGAACAAAAUUAUCAUCGAUUUGCACUAUUAGUACUCUCAUUUAUUUAGUAUUUGGUCCAUACCAUUGUAUAAUUAAUGUUUUCUGACAAUGAUCUGUAAUAAUGCAUGUGCAUGAUGGGAAUAUGUUGAGGACUAAGUUCUUAAUAGAUGUAUUGAAGUACAAUGUGAAUGAAUUUAAAGAUAACAUUCCUAAAGUUAUAUAAGAAUUUCUUAAACA
This is a long non-coding RNA of Phragmites australis (common reed), 2224 nucleotides long. RefSeq lists it as uncharacterized. NCBI's taxonomy places the organism in Eukaryota, Viridiplantae, Streptophyta, Magnoliopsida, Poales, Poaceae. The transcript has 6 exons. The record is from RefSeq and is a predicted model, not a curated record.